GGCAAGAUGGCCGAGCGGUCUAAGGCGCCAGACUCGGCCGGAAAAAAGUUUCCCAGUUUUCAAUCACGGUAGCCUUCUGGUCUCGAAAGACGCAGGGGUUUAAAUCCCCUUCUUGUCA
Trichophaea hybrida is the source of this 118-nucleotide non-coding RNA. NCBI's taxonomy places the organism in Eukaryota, Fungi, Ascomycota, Pezizomycetes, Pezizales, Pyronemataceae. The record is from the annotation of a GenBank genome assembly.